GAGUUUGAUCAUGGCUCAGAUUGAACGCUGGCGGAAUGCUUUACACAUGCAAGUCGAACGGCAGCAUAGAGAGCUUGCUCUCUGAUGGCGAGUGGCGAACGGGUGAGUAAUAUAUCGGAACGUACCUAGUAAUGGGGAACAACUAGCCGAAAGGUUAGCUAAUACCGCAUACGACCUACGGGUGAAAGCAGGGGAUCUUCGGACCUUGCGUUAUUAGAGCGGCCGAUAUCUGAUUAGGUAGUUGGUGGGGUAAAAGCCUACCAAGCCAACGAUCAGUAGCUGGUCUGAGAGGACGAUCAGCCACACUGGAACUGAGACACGGUCCAGACUCCUACGGGAGGCAGCAGUGGGGAAUUUUGGACAAUGGGGGCAACCCUGAUCCAGCCAUUCCGCGUGAGUGAAGAAGGCCUUCGGGUUGUAAAGCUCUUUCACAAGAGAAGAAAUCUUAUUAUCAAAUAAAUAGUAAGGAUGACGGUAUCUUGAGAAGAAGCACCGGCUAACUACGUGCCAGCAGCCGCGGUAAUACGUAGGGUGCGAGCGUUAAUCGGAAUUACUGGGCGUAAAGCGUGCGCAGGCGGCUUUAUAAGUCAGAUGUGAAAUCCCCGAGCUCAACUUGGGAACUGCGUUUGAAACUGUAAGACUAGAGUGUGUCAGAGGGGGGGUAGAAUUCCAUGUGUAGCAGUGAAAUGCGUAGAUAUAUGGGAGGAAUACCAAUGGCGAAGGCAGCCCCCUGGGAUAACACUGACGCUCAUGCACGAAAGCGUGGGGAGCAAACAGGAUUAGAUACCCUGGUAGUCCACGCCCUAAACGAUGUCUACUAGUUGUUGGUGGAGUAAAAUCCAUGAGUAACGCAGCUAACGCGUGAAGUAGACCGCCUGGGGAGUACGGUCGCAAGAUUAAAACUCAANGAAUUGANNGGGCCCGCACAAGCGGUGGAUUAUGUGGAUANNGAUGCANGCGAAAACNUACNGGNNUUGACAUGUACCGAAUUAGCAGANAUGCUUUAGUGCUCG
RNAcentral lists this ribosomal RNA (1013 nucleotides) under uncultured bacterium. Its description in RNAcentral is "bacterial SSU rRNA". It matches the Rfam family "Bacterial small subunit ribosomal RNA", at positions 9 to 1020 of the family's 1533-position model. The record is from RNAcentral.